AGAGUUUGAUCCUGGCUCAGAGUGAACGCUGGCGGUAGGCCUAACACAUGCAAGUCGAACGGCAGCACAGUAAGAGCUUGCUCUUAUGGGUGGCGAGUGGCGGACGGGUGAGGAAUACAUCGGAAUCUACCUUUUCGUGGGGGAUAACGUAGGGAAACUUACGCUAAUACCGCAUACGACCUUCGGGUGAAAGCAGGGGACCUUCGGGCCUUGCGCGGAUAGAUGAGCCGAUGUCGGAUUAGCUAGUUGGCGGGGUAAAGGACCACCAAGGCGACGAUCCGUAGCUGGUCUGAGAGGAUGAUCAGCCACACUGGAACUGAGACACGGGCCAGACUCCUACGGGAGGCAGCAUUGGGGAAUAUUGGACAAUGGGCGCAAGCCUGAUCCAGCCAUACCGCGUGGGUGAAGAAGGCCUUCGGGUUGUAAAGUCCUUUUGUUGGGAAAGAAAAGCAAUCGGCUAAUACCCGGUUGUUCUGACGGCACCCAAAGAAUAAGCACCGGCUAACUUCGAGCCAGCAGCUCGCAGUAAUACCAAGGGUGCAAGCGUUAAUCGGAAUUACUGGGCGUAUAGCGCGCGUAAGUGGUUUGUUAAGAUGGAUGUGAAAUCCCAGGGCUCAAUCUGGGCACUGCAUUCAAAACUGACUGACUAGAGUAUG
RNAcentral lists this ribosomal RNA (656 nucleotides) under uncultured bacterium. RNAcentral's name for it is "bacterial SSU rRNA". It matches the Rfam family "Bacterial small subunit ribosomal RNA", at positions 8 to 650 of the family's 1533-position model. The record is from RNAcentral.